GAUGGACGCUGGCGGCGUGCCUAAUACAUGCAAGUCGAGCGAACAGAUAAGGAGCUUGCUCCUUUGACGUUAGCGGCGGACGGGUGAGUAACACGUGGGUAACCUACCUAUAAGACUGGAAUAACUCCGGGAAACCGGGGCUAAUGCCGGAUAACAUUUAGAACCGCAUGGUUCUAAAGUGAAAGAUGGUUUUGCUAUCACUUAUAGAUGGACCCGCGCCGUAUUAGCUAGUUGGUAAGGUAACGGCUUACCAAGGCAACGAUACGUAGCCGACCUGAGAGGGUGAUCGGCCACACUGGAACUGAGACACGGUCCAGACUCCUACGGGAGGCAGCAGUAGGGAAUCUUCCGCAAUGGGCGAAAGCCUGACGGAGCAACGCCGCGUGAGUGAUGAAGGUCUUCGGAUCGUAAAACUCUGUUAUUAGGGAAGAACAAAUGUGUAAGUAACUGUGCACGUCUUGACGGUACCUAAUCAGAAAGCCACGGCUAACUACGUG
RNAcentral lists this ribosomal RNA (497 nucleotides) under uncultured bacterium. Its description in RNAcentral is "partial 16S ribosomal RNA". It matches the Rfam family "Bacterial small subunit ribosomal RNA", at positions 28 to 507 of the family's 1533-position model. The record is from RNAcentral.